GGCCUGGUAGUGUAACAGCAACAUGCCCUGCUCAAAUGAUCGUCACCACCUGCUUUGUAUUUCCAGGGAGUCCCUCGUUCGAAUCGAGGCCAGGCCG
Molecule: non-coding RNA, 97 nt
Organism: Mycena capillaripes
Lineage: Eukaryota; Fungi; Basidiomycota; Agaricomycetes; Agaricales; Mycenaceae
Source: the annotation of a GenBank genome assembly